This 465-nucleotide ribosomal RNA is filed under the name uncultured bacterium. Its description in RNAcentral is "partial 16S ribosomal RNA". It matches the Rfam family "Bacterial small subunit ribosomal RNA", at positions 28 to 507 of the family's 1533-position model. The record is from RNAcentral.
GACGAACGCUGGCGGCGUGCUUAACACAUGCAAGUCGAACGGAAAGGCCCCCUUGUGGGGUACUCGAGUGGCGAACGGGUGAGUAACACGUGAGUAACCUACCCUUGACUUUGGGAUAACUUCAGGAAACUGGGGCUAAUACCGGAUAGGAGCUCCUGCUGCAUGGUGGGGGUUGGAAAGUUUCGGCGGUGGGGGAUGGACUCGCGGCUUAUCAGCUUGUUGGUGGGGUAGUGGCUCACCAAGGCUUUGACGGGUAGCCGGCCUGAGAGGGUGACCGGCCACAUUGGGACUGAGAUACGGCCCAGACUCCUACGGGAGGCAGCAGUGGGGAAUAUUGCACAAUGGGCGGAAGCCUGAUGCAGCAACGCCGCGUGCGGGAUGACGGCCUUCGGGUUGUAAACCGCUUUCGCCUGUGACGAAGCGUGAGUGACGGUAAUGGGUAAAGAAGCACCGGCUAACUACGUG